Molecule: ribosomal RNA, 1720 nt
Filed under: Lyraphora sp. NLG-2014
Lineage: Eukaryota; Metazoa; Arthropoda; Insecta; Coleoptera; Scarabaeidae
Description: partial 16S ribosomal RNA
Source: RNAcentral
UAAACUAGGAUUAGAUACCCUAUUAUUGAAAAUGUAAAUUAUGAUACUUGAUUAGUAUUAGUUAUGUUCUUGAAAUUCAAAGAAUCUGGCGGUAUUUUAGUCUAUUCAGAGGAACCUGUUCCGUAAUUGAUGGUCCACGAUUAAUUGAACUUAUUUUAUUGGUUUGUAUAUCGUCGUAGUUUGAAUGUUUUAUAAGAAUAGGGAAUAUUCAAGAUUUAUAAAGUUAAUAGAAAUCAGAUCAAGAUACAGCGUAUAAAUAAGAGGAGAUGGGUUACAAUAAAUUUAUUUAAAUGGUUAGUUUAAUUAACAUUAUUCUAUAAAGUGGAUUUGAAAGUAAUAUUAUUAAGUUAAAUAAUAUGAUUUUAGCUCUAAAAUAUGCACAUAUCGCCCGUCGCUCCCAUUUUAAGAUGGGAUAAGUCGUAACAAAGUAGGUGUACUGGAAAGUGUACCUGGUACGGCAAAUUAGAGCUUGUUAGAAAGUAUUUUAUUUACAUUAAAAAGUUAGUUGUGAGAAUCAAUUUAAUUUGAAACUAAAAAUUUAUAUUAAUUUAUUAAAAAAAAUAUUUUUAUUAUUAGUAUUUUUUAGAAUAUAAGAUUUAUAUUAUAGAGAAAUGUAUAGUGAUAGGUUAUUGAAAUAUUAUAUUUAAUUAUUGAAAAGAAAAAUUGAAUUUUUGUACCUUGUGUAUCAGGGUUUAUUAAAAUAGUUUAAUAAAUUUAAGUUUCUCGAAUUAAAAAGAGCUAAAUAUUAUACAUAUUUAAUUGUUUGAAUAAAUUUUUAAAAUAUUAUAUUAGAAAUGAAACGUUAUUCGUUUUUUAAGAUAUCUAGUUUUUUAAGAAAUAAAUUUAAUUUAGUUUAUUAUUUAUAUUUAAUUAAUUGAUUAGUUAAAUGUAAUUAUAAUUUAAUAUUUUAAGGGAUAAGCUUUAAAGUAAAUUUAUAUAAUAAUUAUUUUAUAAAAAAAAAUUAUAGGAUUGGAAGUUUUUAUUGAAUAGUGUAUUAUAACUAAUUUUUUUUAUUAUAAGAUUUAUAUACAUAUAUUUAUGUUUUAUAUUAAAAUAAUUUAAUUAAUAGGGUUUUAUAUAAAAUAAUGAUAAAAUUAGUAUAAUUUAAUGUAUAAUUAAUUUAAAAAAGCAAGGUUAAGUUAAGGAACUCGGCAAAUAUAUUUUUCGCCUGUUUAUUAAAAACAUGUCUUUUUGAUAAUAAUUUAAAGUCUAACCUGCCCAAUGAGGAGUUGAAUGGCCGCGGUAUUUUGACCGUGCAAAGGUAGCAUAAUCAUUAGUUUUUUAAUUGAAAGCUGGAAUGAAUGGUUGGACGAGAAAAUAACUGUCUCAGUUUAAUUUUAAUUAGAAUUUUAUUUUUAAGUAAAAAAGCUUAAAUUUAUUUAAAAGACGAGAAGACCCUAUAGAGUUUUAUAUUCUUUAUUAUUUAAGUGUUUUAGAAUUAUCCUUAAUUUUAUAAUAAAGAGUAUUUUGUUGGGGUGACAGAAAAAUUUAAGAAACUUUUUUUUAUUAUUACAUUGAUUUAUGAUUAUAUGAUCCGUUACUAACGAUUAAAAGAUUAAAUUACCUUAGGGAUAACAGCGUAAUUUUUUUUGAGAGUUCUUAUCGAAAAAAGAGUUUGCGACCUCGAUGUUGGAUUAAAAUUAAUUUUUGGUGUAGAAGCUAAAAAGGGAGGUCUGUUCGACCUUUAAAAUUUUACAUGAUCUGAGUUCAAAACCGGAGA